Non-coding RNA from Poecilia reticulata (guppy), 1281 nucleotides. The record is from RefSeq and is a predicted model, not a curated record. NCBI's taxonomy places the organism in Eukaryota, Metazoa, Chordata, Actinopteri, Cyprinodontiformes, Poeciliidae.
GUAGCCGGGUCGGGAGAUUCGUCAGUUGGUAGUUCAGAUUGUCGCGCCGCCAAACGGGAGGACGGAGGAGUACUUUUUGUCUCAAUUUUUCUUCGGGAGGGGGUGAUUUUUUGCCUCGAAUUGGAUUUCUCAAAUGGACGGACAUGAAUGAGGACCACUGGUUACAUUUUCUCGGCGCCCCUUUCGCGGAGAAAUGCUUAGUGAGGGGCGUUUACCGUGUUUUUUCCAGCCUGUUUUUCCUAACAGGUAGCGAGCGGCAGCAGCGGUCAGUCAGUGUGCCGCUGAAAAGAGACUGAAUAUCCCGCUUUGUAAUCUCCUGACAGCCCUUUUAACCCAUCCGUGGAUUGACGGAGGGAUCUGGGAACAGCUUUACUCUCAUCACAACCAUGGAUAUCGUGUUUUUUUCACUCUGUUAUUCAUGAUUUGUAACAGAUUUGCGGCCACCGAUCGACAUGAAGAAAGUGGACGGUGUGGAUUAGGAUCUUUUUAUUUCCCCCCCCUUCUUUUUCUAUUUUCUGUUGUUUUCUUGGGGCUUCAUCCUCCUCACGUCAAUGUGGGCUCUGAAGGACCUCUCCCCACUUUGUGGUUUGGAAUAAGUGAUGGCAGCGCGUUGGAGUGAUUCCCCAAAGGACACUGAAGAGCGGAAACACUCAGCCGUAACUCCCACCUGUCAGCGGUUACAUCAUUAUAAUCAUCACUAUGAGCCAGCUCUGCACCGGCGGCAUGUUUCGGAUUAAUCCAUCAUCAGAAAAUGGCAACAGUGUGUGCCUGUAAUCCUCUUACUGUGUCAGAACGAGCUGAGGAUGGAUGAUAUAAACCUAUCAGCAUCCUGAUAGAGAGAGUUACAAACUGCAAAUAAAUAAAGCAGAAGUCGGUAACUCAGUGAUUUUCCUGAGGUUGGUUGUGAUGUGUGAUUGUCUGAUGGAAGUGACCAGAGCGUUGUUGAAAGUGUAUUAGUGGCGCCGUUUUGGAGAAAUCUCAUUAACCGAGGCGUGGUUUUGUAGCUUUUAGCUUCCAUGAAAUCUUUCCCCUUGCAUCCAUCUCUGCAAUCUAAUAAAUACUUCCCACAGCAACACUCUGCUCUGCCUCUCUGCGGAAAACUAAAACCACCACAUCCUCUCAAACUCCCAGCUGUUAGGCAGAAACAUCCGAAGCACAUCAAUCAGUUUCAAAACUCGAUUUCCCUUCACCACAAAGGACUCUGUACCAGCUGAUCAAAGAUGAUUUCUGACAGUCUAUAUCAAAAAAAUUAAACACAAUUUCUUACUUUUGUCCAUAAAA